RNAcentral lists this long non-coding RNA (1236 nucleotides) under Canis lupus familiaris (dog). RNAcentral's name for it is "lncRNA (ENSCAFG00030004439.1)". The record is from RNAcentral. Lineage: Eukaryota; Metazoa; Chordata; Mammalia; Carnivora; Canidae.
CCCCCCUCUCCACCCAAUUCAGAUUCUCCUAGUUCUCACCACCCCGGCUCCCCAACCCCGGGGCUCCUCCGCCCCUCUAGGACGGGCCCCGCCCCCCAUCUGUCUCCCUAGCCGACGAGCUGGGCGCGGGAGGGGGCGGGGGGCGGCCUCAGCCCUCUUUCGACCACAGCCACUUGGAACACUUGAGGGUGUGUGUGUGUGUGUUGGGGGGGGGGUGCGGGUGUGUGUGUCAGUCUACCUCCUCUUCCUAUUAGGGCUGCGGUGGAGGGGGUGAAGGAGCGAGAAAAAGAAAGGCCGAGUCGCACGGAGCCAGGGGGGUAUAGUCCCAUUUUUAUUCACCUUGGGACACACACACACACACACACACACACACACACACACGCAGGCACACCAGCGUUCCUCAAACCUAGAGCCCGAAGCCAGACUUGCCCCCCUGUUGAAGUCUCCUUUCACCCUAAGGCAAGUUUCCGGAAUGUGGGUCCCGGUGAUGUAAAGGGUGGCAUUGUCCGGAAGACGACGAAGAGAGAGGAAGCUUUAGGCAGGUUGGAGCAGCGUUGAGAACAGCUCACUCCUCUGGUCUUUCCUUCGAGUUUUUCGAUGGUAAUCUAGGGCAGCCGGGUCCCGGCGUUAAAUGCAAAAUAGGAAAACAGGACACGGCCGAGUCACAGGCCUGGUCAUAUUAACGCCCUAGGUCAGGGGGAGAGAAUAAUGAAUAGGCGCGGAGCUCAGUUCGUGGAAGGGAACCUAAUUAACCUUGAGAGAGUGAAAGAAAGUCAGAGAUCGUGCCUGGGAUCCUCUGUUUAGGAUGCUUAUAUUUACGUGAAUGUGAGUGUGUGCGGGUGGGGGAGGAGAGAGGGAGUAGCCUGCUUUGUGCAUUAUAGGGAUGAUUGUCCCUUAACCCUGGAAAAGAGCUGGAGUUUGUGCCACUCAGGACCAUCCCGCCACGCACACGGUCCCGCGGAGAAGUCCGCGGUGGGGCCCCCACCCCCGAGCUCUGCCCGGAGGUUCUGCGUCCCGGCCCCGGCCUGCCUGCGGGAUGAGCCCCUGGGUCGGGAGCAGGGGCUGCGGCGUCCCCGCGCCCCGGCCUGACCCCGGGAGGGACCGCUGGCGAGCCGAGCGGGAGUGGGGGCGGGGGCGUUCCCCGCCUCGGAGCCGCUGAGCUCCUAGGCAGGUCCUGGCUGCGAUCCGGUGGAGGAAGACGAGGGCGAGAAGCGGGAGGCCGGGCCAUUGUCCAGG